CUACAAAUGAAUUGACGGGACUCGCACAAGCGGUGAUGAUGUGGAUUAAUUCGAUGCAACGCGAAAACCUUACCUACCCUUGACAUGCCUGGACCGCCGGAGAGAUCCGGCUUUCCCGUUCGGGGACUGGGACACAGGUGCUGCAUGGCUGUCGUCAGCUCGUGUCGUGAGAUGUUGGGUUAAGUCCCGCAACGAGCGCAACCCUUGUCAUUAGUUGCCACCAUUUAGUUGGGCACUCUAAUGAGACUGCCGGUGACAAACCGGAGGAAGGUGGGGAUGACGUCAAGUCCUCAUGGCCCUUAUGGUAGGGCUUCACACGUCAUACAAUGGUCGGUACAGAGGGUUGCCAAGCCGCGAGGUGGAGCCAAUCCCUUAAAGCCGAUCGUAGUCCGGAUCGUAGUCUGCAACUCGACUACGUGAAGUCGGAAUCGCUAGUAAUCGCGGAUCAGCAUGCUGCGGUGAAUACGUUCCCGGGUCUU
Molecule: ribosomal RNA, 479 nt
Filed under: uncultured Azospira sp.
Lineage: Bacteria; Pseudomonadati; Pseudomonadota; Betaproteobacteria; Rhodocyclales; Rhodocyclaceae
Description: bacterial SSU rRNA
Rfam family: Bacterial small subunit ribosomal RNA
Source: RNAcentral